RNAcentral lists this ribosomal RNA (460 nucleotides) under uncultured bacterium. RNAcentral's name for it is "partial 16S ribosomal RNA". It matches the Rfam family "Bacterial small subunit ribosomal RNA", at positions 338 to 795 of the family's 1533-position model. The record is from RNAcentral.
CCUACGGGUGGCAGCAGUGAGGAAUAUUGGUCAAUGGACGAAAGUCUGAACCAGCCAAGUAGCGUGAAGGAUGACUGCCCUAUGGGUUGUAAACUUCUUUUAUAUGGGAGUAAACUGUUACACGUGUGGUAUUUUGUAUGUACCGUAUGAAUAAGGAUCGGCUAACUCCGUGCCAGCAGCCGCGGUAAUACGGAGGAUCCGAGCGUUAUCCGGAUUUAUUGGGUUUAAAGGGAGCGUAGGUGGAUUGUUAAGUCAGUUGUGAAAUGUUGCGGCUCAACCGGAAAAUUGCAGUUGAAACUGGCAGUCUUGAGUACAGGAGCGGUGGGCGGAAUGCGUGGUGUAGCGGUGAAAUGCUUAGAUAUCACGAAGAACUCCGAUUGCGAAGGCAGCUCACUGGACUGCAACUGACAUUGAGGCUCGAAAGUGUGGGGAUCAAACAGGAUUAGAUACCCGAGUAGUC